Molecule: long non-coding RNA, 847 nt
Organism: Globicephala melas (long-finned pilot whale)
Lineage: Eukaryota; Metazoa; Chordata; Mammalia; Artiodactyla; Delphinidae
Source: RefSeq, a predicted model, not a curated record
CUCCCCCUCCCCUGCGCUGUUGUUGUUCUUGAUGUCUGAAGAUGAUUUCUUUUUUCGUUCUUUGCUUUAGUUACGAGGAUCCUGACAAGUGCCUGCUUCUCUAUGGUGAUGAUCAGGGAUGUGUGAACAUUCUGUUUUUGGCUUCUGUCGGUGAACUAUUAAGACCCAAGAUGGCAACUGUGUACCGGGCAUAGGGCGGCCAGGGCCCUUCAGAAGGCAUAACCAUUGGAGUGAAUAUCUGGUGGAGCCGACUAUCUUGAGAGGAGAUUGACAUGGUUGGUAAAUAUGAACGCUAAGUACUCAGAAGUCUAAGCAAAUGAAAGUCCAGAGUCCAAAGAUCAUACCCGCAACUGAAAAACCAAGAAGAAGCAGUGCAAACGUGCUAUUUAGAGACAUGGAAUAGAUACCAAAUAAUCAUCUAAAAGAAGGAAACGUGGAGGCCUUCGGGGAUAGAAAGGAAGAAAGGGGUCCAGAUUCUUGCAGAACUGUUUGACUCUUCAAGCAACUGCAUGUAACUUAGAUUAAAAUAAAAAUAAAUUUUAAAAAAAGGAAAAGAAAAACAAGCAAAACUUCCCCCAAAAAUUCCAGAUUUUCAACUAUUUGAAGAUGACUAUUAAGUUUUCCCUUCUCCCAGGUAAACUGUUCUAGUUUUCUUAACUGUCCUUCAUCCGACCUCAUUUCAAGAUAUCUUGUCAUCCUGGCAUCUCUUCUGGACAAUGUCCCAAGUGCUCAGAACUGAGUACCACAAGGUAUCACACAGCCCACCAAUGCUUGACCCACUGGCAUAUUACAAUACCUCCCACUUUAAAGCCAUGUAUUCCUCAUCCUUUCCUUAUAAGUUAAUAUU